Molecule: long non-coding RNA, 1900 nt
Filed under: Citrus x clementina
Lineage: Eukaryota; Viridiplantae; Streptophyta; Magnoliopsida; Sapindales; Rutaceae
Description: Citrus clementina (C. clementina) long non-coding RNA (CCLE_LNC000354)
Source: RNAcentral
UUAGGGGAGCAUUAAGAUAGUUUAUAAGUAUGAGCGCAUUAAUCAACAUUAUAAAUAUUAAAAAAAUGAUAAUUUCAACCUUAUUAAAUGUAAACUUUCUAGUGUUAAUCACAUCCCCUUCUCCAACCAUCUUAAUGCUAGUCCCUAGCAAAUUAAGUGAUAAUAUCUAACAAAUUUCAAUCCCAAAUUGAAGUCUGUUCUCCAAAUAAAUGAAUUUUCUGAAAAUUCUAUCCUCCUUCCUCCACUUUGUUAACAUAUAUGUUUUCAUAAUAUUGAUUUUGAUGAUAACAAACAAAAUUAAGAAUGAUUAAUCUUUUAAGCUCAAAUUAUUUUUUAUACAUUUUAAAUAAAUCAUUAUUUUUACAUUAUAAAGGUUUUAUAUUUAAUGAAAAAAAUGAUUUUAUGAAAUUGGUUGCUUUUCAAGUUUAUAAUUUAAUUAAAAGAGUUUUGAAAACUUUGAAAUAAACAAGUAUUGCUUGAAAAUUUGGAGAAGGACUUAUUUGAAAAGUGUCAUAACAUGUUGGGCUAUAUCAUAAUUUCAAAAAGUUUUGAGAUUAACAAAGUAUUAUUUAGAAAUUCUGAAAUUGGAUCUAUUUGUAAAGGUUCAUAACGUUUUGAGCUGUAAUAUAGUUUUAUAAAGUUUUGGGGUCAAACUAUAAUUUUAAAAAAUAGUUCACUGUAGCAGUCACUGUAGCAAGCGGCUUACCGGAUGUGAAAAACCGGCAAGCCGGAUUUUGGACAGAAUCUAUCCGAAUUAAAAGCGGCUAACCGGAUCUUGACAAACGGUAAUCCGGUUGUUGGGCAGUAAGCUUCUGAAGCAUAAACGGCUAUCCGGAUUUCACAAGCGGCAUACCGACUGUUCAGAAAUUCAAAAUUGUGGCUGUAAUGGUAACAUUAAGCGGUUAACCGGAUGUCCAUAAACGGUAAGCCGGUUAUGACCAAAAUGUGCAUAACGGUUAGUUUUUGAGCUCAAACUAUAUAAACUCAAAACCAAUUCAUUUUUGGUAACCUAAGCAAGCAUAAACAAGUGCACACAACUUAUAUUGAGCUUAAAAUUCAAAAAUCAUCAUAGAUUAAAUCUUCAUUGAGCUAUCAUUUGUAUAUCCACUCUUAAAGAGAGUUUCAUUGUUGUAAUUUUCAUUUCUCAUCAAAUUGUGAGUGUACAAGUGUGAGAAACACUUGGGGUGAAGAGAUUGGGGAGAUAAUCUCUUGAUUGUAAAGGUUCAUUGACACCUUGGAAGUCAAUUGUAAAAACUUGAAGCCUUGGGAGGCUUGGAUAGUGAAAUCCUCAAGCGGGUGAGCUUGGAGGCGUGGACAUAGGUGGGGAUUGCCGAACCACGUAAAAAUCCUUGUGCUUGUUUUCUCUUCCCUUACUCUUUUAAUAUUGUGCAUGAUUAAAUUUAUUGUUUUCAAUUUGAUUAAGGCAAUAAAUUAAAUUGUUGUGUGGCUUUCUUAGCUUAAAUUUUAAAAUCUCAAUUCACCCCCCAUCUUGGGUUGCCUAGUUAGUAUUUCACACUCGACCAUCAAUAAAUGAUUUAGCAAACUUUCUUUUGUGCCCAGUGGUGUUUGACAUAAUGAUAUCGAGGUUUUAUCAGAAUAAAGCAAUACUUUUGUUCUUACCAUCCCGUAAGAGUUUCUUCCUUUGGUAGCAGGUUUAUUUAUAAUAUAUUUUUAACCAAUUCUAACUAUUUUAUGUGAACACCCUCUUUUGAUUAGGUAGGAGAUCUAAUUACUAAGAGAGAGCUAGGUUGAACAAGUCGAACUCUCAUAAUUUUAUGUGAAUACGCUUUGCUGAUUAGACAGGAGAUCCGAUUACUAAGUAGGAGCUCACACAUAACAUGAGCUUGAUAAACUCUUUAUGUUUUAUGCGAAUACGCUCUACUGAUUACACAGGAGAGCA